UGUGAGGAUAAUCUGGCUGAGACAGCUGCCACCCCACUGAUUGCCAACUGUGAUUCAGCUGACCUGGCUGCCUAGGUGACUCUACCUGUCACCUUCCUCCCUCACUGC
Molecule: small RNA, 108 nt
Filed under: Mus caroli (Ryukyu mouse)
Lineage: Eukaryota; Metazoa; Chordata; Mammalia; Rodentia; Muridae
Description: sRNA (MGP_CAROLIEiJ_G0008914.1)
Rfam family: 7SK RNA
About the family: 7SK was discovered as an abundant small nuclear RNA in the mid-70s but a possible function has only recently been suggested.
Source: RNAcentral